GAUUUUGGUAACUGAAGCCACUGCGAAAUGCACUAUUAACAAUUAUUAGCAUGAUUAGUGUAUUUCUAGUGACAUGGAGAACACUAGGAUGGUUUUCCUAGAGAGUGGUUUUCGGCUAGUCGUGAUCAAGAAGUCUGCUCUCCAUUAGGUGAGAAAGAUGAGAGGCAGAAAUUUGGCUGUCGUACACGUUUCGUGUAACGAAAGCAAAUGCUACUAAACAGAUAGUGAUAUGUUGAUGGAAAAUGCUAAUCACAGUUAAUGAUAUAACAAUCACCUUGGACUUACACAGACACUUAGCAGUGAAAGUAAAUACUAUAUGCUAAAAGAAAAUGCUAAUGAUAGUUAGUGAUAUAGCUGUCGCAUUGGACUUACACUGACACCUAGAGGCCUGGAGUGUUUUGGUCACUGAAGCCACGGUGGAAAUGCACUAUUAGCAAUUAUUAGCAUGAUUAGUGUAUUUCUAGUGACAUGGGAGACACUAGGAUGGUUUUCAGCUAGUCGUGAUCAAGAAGUCUGCUCUCCAUUAGGUGAGAAAGAUGAGAGGCAGAAAUUUGGCUGUCGUACACGUUUCGUGUAACAAAAGCAAAUGCUAAUGGACAGAUAGUGAUAUGGAAACGGAAAAUGCUAAUCACAGUUAAUGAUAUAAGUCACGUUGGUCUUACACAGACACUUAGCGGCGAAAGCAAAUACUAUAUGCUAAAAGAAUAUGCUAAUGAUAGUUAGUGAUAUAGCUGUCGCAUUGGACUUACACUGACACCUAGUGGCCUGGAGUGUUUUGGUCACUGAAGCCACUGUGGAAAUGCACUAUUAGCAAUUAUUACCAUGUAUUUCUAUUGACAUGUGGGUCACCAGGAUGAAGUGAGUGGUUUUCGGCUAGUUAUGUAAUUUCAAGAUGGCUGCUCUCCAUUAGGCGACCCACUCAAUGCAGAACAAAAUGCUUUUAACAUCCUUUUAAUAUGUGCUAGAUAGAAAAAAAUGCACCUUUAAAACAAAAUUUGGUCCCAAACCGAAAGCCGUACCAAGACCCGAAAUGAACCCAUCUUGUUCAGAAUGACUGACAUGCGUUUAUCCCUCAGUGAUGUCCUCCCUCAAGUUCCUGUUCUCCUGACAUCUUUUAGUAAUCUGUAGAUUAGCACAUAAGACCCCUCUGUCAACCCAAUAAAUGCAUGACUGUAUACAGUUCACCUGUACAGCGAUUAACCAACCAUAUGGAGGCUUACGCUGGAAUCCAUCGUUGUUUCCAUCAGAUUCUCACAUGAAUAUGAAUCUCUUUGUUCCCUCAAAAAACAUGCAUGUUGAUCACGAGUGGGACAGGGACCCCUGUGGGGGAGAGACUUAAAAUGUGUGUCAGUUUAAUUUAAUCAAAUUAACUUAACUCUCUAACCUUUUGCAGAUUGAAACCAACGCAAUUACUAGCGGUCAAUUGCAUAAUGUGUUGUUAGAUGCGUCAAACGUGUAAAUUGCUAAACUAGUUAUUAUGUAGGUGGUUUUGUAAUUAGUGGCCAAGUCAAGGGCUAACGUGUUCCUGGAUCAACAUCUUUUUGGAUCCUGGAACAACAUUCCAAUCAACCAAUCAGAUUUGAGGGACAAGUUUACAGUAUAUUUCUUCUACUACAGUACAUAAUUUCUCUCUGAUUUUAGGUUAGUUCAGGUUAGGACUAUGUUUUCAGCCAGGAAUGUUGUUCCAGGAUCAACAAAAUAUGUUUUCUUGGCGAAAUCUCGGUGACCCAAGUCAAGCAUCACCAGUGCUUAUAGUUAAUAUUAGUGAUCUCAUCAAACCCUUCACACCAAGCACUAACUUUUGCUGUGUAACUCGUCCAGACAUCUGUGCUCCAAACAUGAAUGAUUCCUCAGAUCUGCAUAGUAACAUACUAAAAACACCAUGAACACCUUAGUGAUUGUAUAGCAACAGGCUAAAAAUAAAAUACCUUAGCAAAUGCAUAGCAACCACAUAGUGACAUGCUAAAAAAAACAUCA
Long non-coding RNA from Ctenopharyngodon idella (grass carp), 1977 nucleotides. RefSeq lists it as uncharacterized. The record is from RefSeq and is a predicted model, not a curated record. NCBI's taxonomy places the organism in Eukaryota, Metazoa, Chordata, Actinopteri, Cypriniformes, Xenocyprididae. The transcript is spliced from 2 exons.